Molecule: RNA transcript, 1840 nt
Organism: Sander lucioperca (pikeperch)
Lineage: Eukaryota; Metazoa; Chordata; Actinopteri; Perciformes; Percidae
Gene: sult4a1
Gene name: sulfotransferase family 4A, member 1
Exons: 8
Source: RefSeq, a predicted model, not a curated record
UACAUCACUACUCUCCUCCGUGAUUGGCUGCAGGUCAACUCAUCCGCCUGCCGUGCAGCAUCCACAGCAGCACCGUUUCAAAAUCAACCUCAUCACCACCACCAUCAUCCUCCUCACGUUUUGAUUGCAUACCGCGUGGGUGUGCGCGUUUUCCUUUUCUUGCACUGGCGGCUCGUUUCGAGGAUGGCUGAGAGCGAGGUAGACACGCCAAGCACGCCCAUCGAGUUUGAUAGCAAAUACUUCGAGUUCGAUGGAGUGCGGCUGCCACCCUUCUGCAGAGGGAAGAUGGAGGAGAUUGCCAACUUCUCGCUCAGAAGUAGCGACAUAUGGAUCGUCACCUACCCAAAGUCAGGCACUAGUCUACUUCAGGAGGUGGUGUAUCUAGUGAGUCAGGGAGCAGACCCAGAUGAGAUCGGCCUCAUGAACAUUGAUGAACAGCUGCCCGUCUUAGAGUACCCCCAACCUGGCCUGGACAUCAUACAGGAGCUGACGUCCCCUCGUCUGAUCAAAAGCCAUCUUCCCUAUCGAUUCCUCCCCACGGCCAUGCACAACGGAGAGGCCAAGGUGAUCUACAUGGCUCGUAACCCUAAGGACCUGGUGGUGUCUUACUACCAGUUCCACCGCUCUCUCAGGACCAUGAGCUACCGGGGAACCUUCCAGGAGUUCUGCCGGCGCUUCAUGCAUGACAAGCUGGGAUAUGGUUCCUGGUUUGAACAUGUUCAGGAAUUCUGGGAACAUCGUAAUGACUCUAAUGUCCUCUUCUUGAAAUAUGAAGACAUGUACAAGGAUCUGGGGCCAUUGGUGGAACAGUUAGCCCGGUUCCUGGGUGUUUCCUGUGACAAGGCUCAGCUGGAGGGCAUGGUGGAGAGCUGCAACCAGCUCAUUGAGCAGUGCUGCAACUCGGAGGCGCUGUCCAUCUGCAGGGUGCAUGGAAGUCUGGUGUCUGAUGUGCUAUAGGCUUAACACACAGCUGACAGCUGUCAGUCUGAUCCGUCUUACACACGCCACAGCAGGUCGUGCAGGUCUGUGGAAGGAUGUCUUCACAGUGUCUAUGAAUGAAAACUUUGACGCUGUGUACAGACAGAAGAUGGGCAAGUCCGACCUGACCUUUGACUUCUGCCUGUGAGGAGUACCUGAUCGCCACUCUCUACCCUCACGGAUCGGCUCCAGUACAGUUGACCAAACCCACGCUCCUACUGUACGCCUCCAUUCAGUCAAUAUGUCUGAAGUCCAAUGGUACAGUCUGACAGUGGGAUUACACUCCAAGACUUUUCCCAGAAUGCAAUCUGUCUCAAGUCAACAAGACAUAAAAAAUUCCACCCUCGUGGACAGAUCAAAAUCAAUCCAGAUUUAUUGGGAAUUUAUUGAAAUUUCUCAGUCAAUAGUUAAACCAAACCUCCCUCAACCCCUACCUCCACAGUAUGUCCCCACUGCUGUGUAUGUAUAUGUGUAUAUAGUAACCAGGGUUCGACUGAUAUAGGUUUUUUUGAAGGCUGAUUUCAAUACUUUUGAGCUGAAGUAUUGGUCAACAUUUCUUUUCAAAAUCUCCCACAAUAUGACCGCGUUCACAACAGGGAUUCAAGCUACGUGCAGAUAUUUGUAACUGAAAUACAGAGAAAAUCACACACCAAUAUAUCUGAACAGAGAAGAACAACCAGUUCAGCCAUGCAAUGUUUUUAUUUGAUGGCUGUCCCUCUUCUAGGCAGGAUUACUCUCUAUUUUUUUGUUGAUCCAUUAAGGCCAUGGGUAUGCUAGAAAGGAAUGAAUGCUAGCUAAUUUGGCUGGCAGAACGCUGAACAAGACAUUUUUAGGCAACCAAAAUGUCCCAUUGAACUUUGAC